RNAcentral lists this unclassified non-coding RNA (247 nucleotides) under Hygrocybe sp. Its description in RNAcentral is "partial contains 5.8S ribosomal RNA, internal transcribed spacer 2, and large subunit ribosomal RNA". The stretch from base 1 to 52 matches the Rfam family "5.8S ribosomal RNA", at positions 103 to 154 of the family's 154-position model. Lineage: Eukaryota; Fungi; Basidiomycota; Agaricomycetes; Agaricales; Hygrophoraceae. The record is from RNAcentral. RNAcentral also lists the same sequence under 3 other names.
AACGCACAUUGCGCCUCUUGGUAUUCCGAGGGGCAUGUCUGUUUGAGCGUCAGUACCCUCUCUCAUUGGCUUUUGCUGAAGAGGUCAUGGAGGUGGAGGAGCAAUCCUCCCCUCCCAACGUGGCACGCUUGCGAACCGAUACCGAUCACGACGUAGUAAAACAUCUUCGUUACUGUGAGGUGGAGGCCGCCUGAAUCAAACUUUGUAGUUUGACCUCAGAUCAGACAAGGAUACCCGCUGAACUUAA